GACGAACGCUGGCGGCGUGCUUAACACAUGCAAGUCGAACGGAAAGGCCCUGCUUUUGUGGGGUGCUCGAGUGGCGAACGGGUGAGUAACACGUGAGUAACCUGCCCUUGACUUUGGGAUAACUUCAGGAAACUGGGGUUAAUACCGGUUAGGAGCUCCUGCUGCUGGGUGGGGGUGGGAAAGUUUCGGCGGUUGGGGAUGGACUCGCGGCUUAUCAGCUUGUUGGUGGGGUAGUGGCUUACCAAGGCUUUGACGGGUAGCCGGCCUGAGAGGGUGACCGGCCACAUUGGGACUGAGAUACGGCCCAGACUCCUACGGGAGGCAGCAGUGGGGAAUAUUGCACAAUGGGCGGAAGCCUGAUGCAGCAACGCCGCGUGCGGGAUGACGGCCUUCGGGUUGUAAACCGCUUUCGCCUGUGACGAAGCGUGAGUGACGGUAAUGGGUAAAGAAGCACCGGCUAACUACGUG
Molecule: ribosomal RNA, 468 nt
Filed under: uncultured bacterium
Lineage: Bacteria
Description: partial 16S ribosomal RNA
Rfam family: Bacterial small subunit ribosomal RNA
Source: RNAcentral